UGGGUCUGAGAUUCUGAGACGGAGAGAGAGAGAGCAAACUAGCUUUGCGGCUGGAUCCCACUUGGCCUCUGUUGCCUCCUGCAGAAAACUGAAUGCUGUUGUUCGUCAGGGAAAAGAAGCUUUAUUUCUUUGUGCAAACGAACAUGUCACAUCAGGGCGGACCACGUCUCCAGAAGCUUCGGUUUAGUGGACACUCACACGGAAGACAGGAGGGUAAACUGAGGCUCAGGUUGUCAUCAGCUCAAAGUGACGGGCCCUCAUCCAUCUAGGGCCUAAUGAUUUUCAACAAAGGUGCCAGGACUAUUCAAAGGAGAGAGAAGACAAUCCUCAGCAAAUGGUUCUGGAGCAGCUGUCUAGCCACAUGCCAAAGAAGGAAGUUGGGCCCCUUCACUUCAUUUCAUAUAUACAAAUUAAAACAAAAUGGGUCAGUAAUCUGGGU
This is a non-coding RNA of Heterocephalus glaber (naked mole-rat), 439 nucleotides long. Lineage: Eukaryota; Metazoa; Chordata; Mammalia; Rodentia; Bathyergidae. The record is from RefSeq and is a predicted model, not a curated record.